Molecule: ribosomal RNA, 251 nt
Filed under: uncultured prokaryote
Description: partial 16S ribosomal RNA
Rfam family: Bacterial small subunit ribosomal RNA
Source: RNAcentral
UACGGAGGAUGCAAGCAUUAUCCGGAUUUAUUGGGUUUAAAGGGUGCGCAGGUUGUUUGAUAAGUCAGUGGUGAAAGUCUGUCGCUUAACGGUAGGAUUGCCAUUGAUACUGUUGGACUUGAAUAUGGAUGAGGUAGGCGGAAUGUGUAGUGUAGCGGUGAAAUGCAUAGAUAUUACACAGAACACCGAUUGCGAAGGCAGCUUACUAAUCCAUCAUUGACGCUGAGGCACGAAAGCGUGGGGAUCAAACA